GAACGCACAUUGCGCCCCUUGGUACUCCAUGGGGCAUGCCUGUUCGAGCGUCAUUUACACCCUCAAGCUCAGCUUGGUGUUGGGCGUCUGUCCCGCUUCGUGCGCGGACUCGCCUCAAAUGCAUUGGCAGCGGUCUUGCCAGCUUCUCGCGCAGCACAUUGCGCUUCUAGAGGCUUUGGCGGAUCGGCGUCCAUCAAGUACACCCACAGUUUGACCUCGGAUCAGGUAGGGAUACCCGCUGAACUUAAG
This 249-nucleotide unclassified non-coding RNA is filed under the name uncultured Dothideomycetes. RNAcentral's name for it is "sequence contains 5.8S rRNA gene". The stretch from base 1 to 53 matches the Rfam family "5.8S ribosomal RNA", at positions 102 to 154 of the family's 154-position model. The record is from RNAcentral. Lineage: Eukaryota; Fungi; Ascomycota; Dothideomycetes.